Molecule: non-coding RNA, 2128 nt
Organism: Myodes glareolus (Bank vole)
Lineage: Eukaryota; Metazoa; Chordata; Mammalia; Rodentia; Cricetidae
Source: RefSeq, a predicted model, not a curated record
UGAGAGUAAAGAGCCAGCACACACAUUGGAAAGUUGGGACCGGCAAGAAUUGUAUUUUAAUCUCAUGCAAUAUCCAGUUGUCUCCGUACCAAUUGCCAGCGCUUUAACCACUUAAGACACUGGUCUUGUCUAGCUGGAGAAACAAGUUUGAGUACCUUCGGGCAACAUCUGCACGCUUUUAAAAAUGAACCGAAUAAAAGCUGCAGUUGCCACUAGUCGGCGCUGUUAAUACGAGAGUCAAACUGAACAGUGGAAGAUUGGGAUGUGGUAUGUACAAAGUCCUUGGUUCAAGCCCUAGCACUGCAUGAAGCCAUGCAUGGGACACAUGCUUCUGAGGUGAGUUUCUGGCCAGCCUGGACUCUACAAGACCCUGUCUUCAAAAAGACCAAUGAUAAAGAAAAGAAAAACCUGAGUGGUUAAGAACACUUUUUGCUCUUGUAGAAUGCCUGAGUUCAAUUCCCAACACCCACAUGGACAGGCGUAACUCUCCAAAACUCUCCAAAAGUUUCUAAGUUUCUCCCUUAGAAACUGCAGUUCUAAGGGAUCUGAUGCUGCCUUCUGACUGUGAACACCAGGCAUGCUUUGGUGCCCAGAUGUGCAUGUGGGAAACAUGCAUAUAAAAUAAAAUCUUUGAACUAUUCAAAACCUUAGCGCAUAGGCCGUUCAAAAAUAAUAUAUCUAUGCCUAGAUGUCACCUCAAGUAGAACCCUGGGGGAGAAUACUAAGCACUAAGCACCUAUGUGCUUGAAGGCUCCCCUGGUUGGCUCUCAUGUACCACAAGAGCCCUGUGCCAUCCAUUAUGAAGGACAAGGCCUGCCUUUUUGAUACAGCCUUAGAACCUAGCACAUUGUCUUACUGCAUGAGCUUUUAUUUGCCAAAGUUUGUCUCAUUUUAGUCUCCAGUGAUAGCCCAAGGAAAAUCCAAACCAAUGAAAUACCAGGGAAUCUAUUCUAAUAUUUUCCCACCCAGAAUCCUUUGUGUUCCUGCCCCUGGUCACCUGUCAUUUUCAGUUCACUGUGACCAUUGUCACCAGAUGAAUUCCUGAAACACAAAAACGUCAUCUUCAUUGUUGAAAAGCCUUAUUCCUCAGUUAUCUAAUAAAUAACUAAGUCAUUUAAGUCUACAAGUCUAUACCCAGGACUGGAGACGUGGCUCAGCCAGUCGAGACCUAUGUUCUAUGGCCCAGUGUAGUGAUGUCCGCAUUAGAUCCCAGCACUCAGGAGCAGAGGCAGACAGAGCUCUGUGAGUGUGAAGCCAGUGUAGUCUAUACAACUGGUUCCAGGUCAUUUUGGAGCUAUACACUGCUCUUGCAGAGGACCCAGGUUUACAGGUUUGGCUCCUAGUACCCAUGUCAGCUGUCUUACAGUCUCCUAUAACUCCAGGUCCGGGUGGGUUUCUACACUCCAGUGAUAGACGAGCUGCCUUGUGAUGGACUUUUAACGUGGAAACCAGCUGUUCCAUAUGGACCAGACAUUGACACAGUUGGCCUGCACUUCUCUCGACCUUGAACUGCGCUGGUCUGGGUGUGCUGUGCAGAUCCUUCCCAUCCUUCAAGUCUCCAUUCUGGAGAGAUUAAACCCUAGUGAACAAGAUGGCCUGCCAUUGGGUGUUUUACCACCCUCCCCAUCCCAGCACAAGAUCCUGUCUUGGCAACAGCUUAGCCUGCAAGUAAUGAUUUAAUGUAUGUUUUUCACAAACUCAGCUUUAAAAAAAUAGAAGUAGAAGGUCCAGAUUCACACACAGAAGUAAAUGAUGUUUAUAAUUCCAGAAUAUUUUACAAGACGUUCUAGAAUAAGAAUUGCUUAGAUUAGCUCAGCGAGCCAUGUAAAGCUUGAAGAAAAUUCUGAAAUUACAUCAAUAACUGACAAUUCACAGAAACUAUAUACUUUCAAAAUAUUAAGUGUUUGUAUCAAAUUGUUAUCGUCUCAGAAUUACCAAAAUAUAUGUUUCUUCUUAGAGGGAAAAUCAACUACUCACCCCUUCCCCUGCUUUUACUUGUCCCUCCGUCUACUAUCUCCCCCCACAUACAUAUGUACAUCCUCAGACAGCACACCACACACACACACACACACACACUAUUGUCUAUGUGUUAGAGCCUUUGAAAGUUAGUUCUCUCUUUCAGAUAAGA